GACAAUUCAAGGAUGAAUUCUUUCGAAGAGAGAGAGGAUGAUGAGGAGCCGGUUGCACCAUUGCCACACCAAGGAGGUCCAUGGCAAAGAAGCUUCAAGGCAUGAUGCCCAAACACAUUAAUAAGCUCAAAAUGAUGGAAGAAUUCGGUUUAGAAGAGAGAACACUCAAAAACACCAAUUUCAUGGUGGUUCGUGUGCUAGCCGAACCAUUGGUGCACCAUGGAAAGAGGAAUCGGUUCAACAACUUGGGAUCAAAGUCUAGGCUGCCCAUUCAUACACCAUUUCACACUCCACAUGCUUUAAAUGUGUGUUUUAAUCGGCCCCAAAGUUGUCCCAUUGCUGCCCAAUUGCUGAAAAAGAGUUUGUCCAUCAUGGUUGCUGAAGGAAGCCUGUA
Molecule: unclassified non-coding RNA, 394 nt
Filed under: Hevea brasiliensis (rubber tree)
Lineage: Eukaryota; Viridiplantae; Streptophyta; Magnoliopsida; Malpighiales; Euphorbiaceae
Source: RNAcentral